GAUCUCAGUUGGUAGAGCUUGAGACUCUUACUCUCACGGUUGUGGCUUCGAGUCCCACAUUGGGCA
Non-coding RNA from Podarcis lilfordi (Lilford's wall lizard), 66 nucleotides. The record is from the annotation of a GenBank genome assembly. Lineage: Eukaryota; Metazoa; Chordata; Lepidosauria; Squamata; Lacertidae.